Molecule: ribosomal RNA, 271 nt
Filed under: uncultured bacterium
Lineage: Bacteria
Description: partial 16S ribosomal RNA
Rfam family: Bacterial small subunit ribosomal RNA
Source: RNAcentral
CGGCAUGCUUAACACAUGCAAGUCGAACGAGACCUUCGGGUCUAGUGGCGCACGGGUGCGUAACGCGUGGGAAUCUGCCCUUAGGUACGGAAUAACUCAGAGAAAUUUGUGCUAAUACCGUAUGAUGUCGAAAGACCAAAGAUUUAUAGCCUAAGGAUGAGCCCGCGUAAGAUUAGCUUGUUGGUGAGGUAAAAGCUCACCAAGGCGACGAUCUUUAGCUGGUCUGAGAGGAAGACCAGCCACAUUGGGACUGAGACACGGCCCAAACUCC